GCGUGCUUACACAUGCAAGUCGAGCGAUGAAGCACCUUCGGGUGUGAAUUAGCGGCGAACGGGUGAGGAACACGUGAGAAAUCUGCCUUCAACACUGGGAUAACUCCGGGAAACCGGGGCUAAUACCGGAUAUGAAAUCUGCGGGCAUCCGCGGAUUUGGAAAGUUUUUCGGUUGAAGAUGAUCUCGCGGCCUAUCAGCUUGUUGGUGAGGUAAUGGCUCACCAAGGCGACGACGGGUAGCCGGCCUGAGAGGGCGACCGGCCACACUGGGACUGAGACACGGCCCAGACUCCUACGGGAGGCAGCAGUGGGGAAUAUUGGGCAAUGGAGGAAACUCUGACCCAGCGACGCCGCGUGCGGGAUGAAGGCCUUCGGGUUGUAAACCGCUUUCAGCAGGGAAGAAGCGAAAGUGACGGUACCUGCAGAAGAAGCACCGGCUAACUAUGUGCCAGCAGCCGCGGUNAAUACAUAGGGUGCAAGCGUUGUCCGGGAAUUAUUGGGCGUAAAGAGCUCGUAGGUGGUUCGUCACGUCGGAUGUGAAACUCUGGGGCUUAACCCCAGACCUGCAUUCGAUACGGGCGAGCUUGAGUAUGGNUAGGGGAGUCUGGAAUUCCUGGUGUAGCGGUGGAAUGCGCAGAU
This 639-nucleotide ribosomal RNA is filed under the name uncultured Actinomycetes bacterium. RNAcentral describes it as "bacterial SSU rRNA". It matches the Rfam family "Bacterial small subunit ribosomal RNA", at positions 42 to 695 of the family's 1533-position model. Lineage: Bacteria; Bacillati; Actinomycetota; Actinomycetes. The record is from RNAcentral.